GACGAACCGUGCAAACGUUGUUCGGAAUCACUGGGCUUAAAGGGCGCGUAGGCGGGCUAUCAAGUCAGGGGUGAAAUCUUUCGGCUUAACCGGAAAAUUGCCUUUGAUACUGAUAGUCUUGAGGGAGGUAGGGGCAUGUGGAACUUCCGGUGGAGCGGUGAAAUGCGUUGAUAUCGGAAGGAACGCCGGUGGCGAAAGCGACGUGCUGGACCUUUUCUAACGCUGAGGCGCGAAAGCUAGGGGAGCGAACGGG
RNAcentral lists this ribosomal RNA (253 nucleotides) under uncultured Gemmata sp. RNAcentral's name for it is "partial 16S ribosomal RNA". It matches the Rfam family "Bacterial small subunit ribosomal RNA", at positions 524 to 776 of the family's 1533-position model. The record is from RNAcentral. Lineage: Bacteria; Pseudomonadati; Planctomycetota; Planctomycetia; Gemmatales; Gemmataceae.